GAUCCGCUCCAGGGCAACUGGAACGGAGGGAGGACAUCGGCAGUGGUCUGAGUGAACGGAGUUUGGACAAAAGCUGUGUGCACACAAAAACAAGGUGUUUUUUCUUAACCUGGAAGCCUGAGUACGGCAGCAGAAGACAGGCCAAGCUUUGGCUAAAAUUCACGGCUGGACACCAGAGUUGUCCUCACCCCUCCCGGUAAAACAAAAAAGAGAGAAUGUAGUUUGAGGCGGGUUUUUCUUGCUGAACCGCUCUGGGUGCUGUGUCCCUGAAUCUCACCGGUGUUAACCUCUGGCGGAAGACAUGGAGAAAAGGAAAAGAUGUUCCUGGUAAAUCACUGAAACAAAUAAAACCACACACAACCAGAGAAAGAUAUGAGAAGGGUGAGGAACAGACACAUGUGCGUGUUAGAGACAUGCCUCGUUUGAGAAAAAGUUAAAGUAACCCAUAUACAGACGCACCCAUACAUGCAAUGAAGAAACAGCUUACAUACAUGUGCACGUACAUGCAAGGUUAAAGUAGCGACACUUAACAUACACCUGUUUUUAAAUGAUAUAGUUCAUACAUUACUGACAAUUAAACGCUUUGGGUUGCAGGACAACAACGUAACGUCAAAAGACAAAGACACUGGUCUGAGGAUUAAGUGAGGACACGACAAAUUUAGUGGUUAAAAGGGUCGACUUGGGACAUGUUUUUGUUGAUUGUUUAAGACAAAUGACUACUGAAUGAUAGGAAAUUCCUUUUUAGGUUUCUAAACAGGAUCUUAAGAAUUUUAACACGUACCUGUGUUGUCCUGUCAACUUGAGGGGUUAUGAGUUGAUUAUAUGGAAAAAAAAAAAAAAAAAAAAAAAAAAAAAAAAAAAAGGGGGAGACGAGAUCUCGUUGUUUCUCCCCUCUCGGGAUAACACAGCCAACACAGCACAGCCAACACAACAUCAUUUUCCUGUUCGCCUGUUUUGUUUUGUUUUUGUUUUUUCUGAGAGCCGAAGCUGACCUGGACUCCUACCCUCCCCUCUACCAUCGUUGCCCUCUCCGCGACCAUCUUUGACCCUUUGACCCCUGAAGGCCACAGCAGCUGGACUCACAACAACAACUUGAGGAUGUCAACAGUGCUGCAAAAGAGUGAUCUCAUGCAGCAGAGACGGAGAGCACUAAACCUAAAGCCCGUUUCACUACACGGGGGAAAUUCCCAGGCUGCGUCAGCUGACAGAGCUGUGACGAGACGCGCAUUAAGCCCGGAGGAAAAGGGACGGUGAGCAGAAGGAUGCUGACCUCUGAGAAGAGCCGAACAGCAGAGCUGCAGAAGGCCGUGGAGCAAAGUAAGGACAACAUAAACAGACCCAAAGAGGAGGGGAGGACCCUAGGCCAUGCGUCAGGCCGCUGGUUUACCUAAACUACAGAACAGAAAGAGCGCCACGUCAUUGUGAUGGAGAUUUAAUAAAGGAGGAACACACGGACAAAGAAGAAGAGAAGGGGGGGCAGCUCUUGAACGCGAUUGCCUGAGGCAUUAAAGUUCUGUACUAAAUUCUGGUUUCCAG
This is a long non-coding RNA of Astatotilapia calliptera (eastern happy), 1536 nucleotides long. NCBI's taxonomy places the organism in Eukaryota, Metazoa, Chordata, Actinopteri, Cichliformes, Cichlidae. The record is from Ensembl.